UGACGAGCGGCGGACGGGUGAGUAAUGUCUGGGAAACUGCCUGAUGGAGGGGGAUAACUACUGGAAACGGUAGCUAAUACCGCAUAACGUCGCAAGACCAAAGUGGGGGACCUUCGGGCCUCAUGCCAUCAGAUGUGCCCAGAUGGGAUUAGCUAGUAGGUGGGGUAAUGGCUCACCUAGGCGACGAUCCCUAGCUGGUCUGAGAGGAUGACCAGCCACACUGGAACUGAGACACGGUCCAGACUCCUACGGGAGGCAGCAGUGGGGAAUAUUGCACAAUGGGCGCAAGCCUGAUGCAGCCAUGCCGCGUGUAUGAAGAAGGCCUUCGGGUUGUAAAGUACUUUCAGCGAGGAGGAAGGCGUUAAGGUUAAUAACCUUGG
RNAcentral lists this ribosomal RNA (380 nucleotides) under Klebsiella aerogenes. RNAcentral describes it as "bacterial SSU rRNA". It matches the Rfam family "Bacterial small subunit ribosomal RNA", at positions 89 to 472 of the family's 1533-position model. The record is from RNAcentral. Lineage: Bacteria; Pseudomonadati; Pseudomonadota; Gammaproteobacteria; Enterobacterales; Enterobacteriaceae.